UCAAGUAAUCUGCCUGCUUUAGCCUACCAAAUUGCUGAGACUAUAGGUGUACCCGUUGCACCCAGCCCUCAUAUAUAUUUUUAAUGCUGAAUUAAAUCAGCAGUUCUGAAAAACAGUCUUUCAUAAAACUAUUUCCUCCUUGAGAUUUAACCUGUUUCUAUUCAUCUUUUGCCAAGUCAAGAUUCAAAACAUUGGCAUCCUUUUGGACUCCUUACUUCCCUUCAAUCGCUAUUUUCUAUACCCACAUCAUAUUAGCUACCCGUUCCUAUGGAUUAUUUCCUUAUCAUCUCUUUUUAUAUGCUUCUUAUUUUGAGAUUCCCAUUCCCAUUACUCUGGCUAGAUCUCUAGUUCGUGUUCAAACAAUAACCUCUUGAGAGCUUUGCUAGCCUUUAGGUUUUCAUUUAUAAUUUCAGCCUGUAUAUUUGUUUGGCCCAAAACAUUACUUCCCCCUCUCAAAAGUGUUUGACACUUGUCUACCAAGUUUUUGUAAGUUUUCCCAUAUCCAAUUUAUAGAUUUUUUUUUGUAUGAAUUCCAUAUUUUAAGCAGUGGUUAGCUUUGCUUUUCCUUGGAGGUGUCAUUGCCUUCUUUCUUCUACUCUGGUUAUUUCUGCAGCUUACUGGAACUCACUUCUUCACAGUCUCACCUCUCAGAAUCCUAAGGUUCAGCAUUGUCUCAAAGUAUUUCUGUAAGUUAUUUUACUGCUUCCGACAAUAUUUUUAUGCUGUACCAAACACCUUAGCAUAUGGUGUGAACUAGAAAGUUGAUUGUUGAAAGGGGAAUGUUUAAAAACAAGACAUCUGACCAUCCAUUGUUAAAGGUAGCUCUGCCUUCAUGCUGGCAGCCUAUCUGAAUCCUCAGAAAGUUUCAUGGUGUGUAAAAAUCUGGGAGAAGAAGCACUCUUUGAGAAUCUUGUAUCUACCCAUUAGCAAAAUUAUUUAUAGGCAUGGUUUGCACUUAGAGCGUCUUUCAUUUUACAUAAAAUGCAUUUCUUUCUUUAUGAGAUUUUGUAUUUUAACAAGUCUCCCAGAUACACUCUUUUUGACAUCUAAUCUUGGAUUCAUACCCAAUUUAGGAUAUGAAACCAACUCCCUACAAAUCUUAAUUAUCUUAUAAGCACUUUGAGUGCUCCUGAGUAUGCAAAGCAUAUAUUAUUGACUUUUCACCCAAGUUCCUUCUUGAGAAAAAGCUGGGGCAGCUAUAGAUGUUUUUACUUAACAGAUUGCUAAAUAACAAGUGAUGGAUUGUUACUAGCUGAAAACACGAGAUAGAACACGCAUCUAAGACAACCAAAAGGGAGAGAUUUUUCCAAACAGAAGUGCUGUUUUACUCCCUUAACGUUUAUUCUUAUGUUGUAUUUUGUUUUGCAAACAGACAAAAGCACCAGCGGAGCUCAGGAAGGUUUUGUGUUGUGCCCAAGGUUGGGGCCAGAAUUUGAAAGGGAUCAGUGAAUCAGAUGUAAUAUGGGCUCUGUUUGAGCCACCCAGUCUCUGUUUUGCUGACGGUCAGUAUUCCAGUUAUAAAAAGCUGCAUCGGCAUUUCCGUCAGCUCAAAAGAAGUUUAUCCCUGCUUUCAUUCUGACAUACCUAUGAUGGCUUUGUUCACUAAGCAGAAGGAAUUAUGGGAAAUGGAAACUCGAUGGCAUGUUUUGAUUAAGGCGUUAUGUGUGUAUCUUCACUGAGAAAUUAAAGAACCAAGCAGAAUUGUAUGUUUUCCUUUCAGUGCCUACCUUGUAAUGAGACAUACAUAUUCGGCAUGGAACGGAAAAAGACAAGAGACUCCCAUGCAGCUGUGAUAAGGACCUUUAUACAAUGGAAAACAUGAUUAAUAUAUCUUUAAAUUUUAAUGCCGAAGUUUCUGUCUUCGUAAGUCUCUCAUUUAUUGUAAGUGGAAUUAAGCUGUAUUUAGUUGUCUAAUAAAUGUGAUUGGUAUUACAUACAUCUCCUCUUUUGUAUCUACUCUGAGCUUAGUAAAUUUUCCUAAAAAUAAAGUUAAACAAGAUGAAUAUGAGUCGUCCUUAAAUGAGAGGUCUGUGUUAACAUAAAGAAACUUUGAAAGUCUGAAAAAUGAAGGUUAACCUCAUUCAUUUUGUAAAAAUUCACCAAACAUCAAGGGCUUUGAAAACACCUAGAAAAACAAUAAGAUAUGCAGCAAAGUUGCCUGUUUUAAAUUCUAAACUGUAGUCCGUGAAAAGAGUUAUCAAAAGGUAGUACGUGUAUGUAAAAUAGGCUAGUGAAGCAAAUGACUCUGAACCUGAGAGAAAGAAUGCUACUCACUGGAAACCCACACUUGGGGUGGAAUGUCUGUGGAUGGCCAUUAUGAUAAGAAAACUGAAUAGAGAAUGAGUUUAUUUUGUUA
Non-coding RNA from Chlorocebus sabaeus (green monkey), 2356 nucleotides. The record is from RefSeq and is a predicted model, not a curated record. NCBI's taxonomy places the organism in Eukaryota, Metazoa, Chordata, Mammalia, Primates, Cercopithecidae.